ACAUGACGGUGCUUUUCUCUCUUCUUCUGUUUUUGGUGACUAAAAGGGACUCUUCUGCACAGUCAACAUCAAACAUGAUACAACCAUCAUCCUCUGAGAAACAUGUUCUUGAGGGAGAAAGUGUGACUCUCUUUUGUAACUACACUGGAACUGUAACUGUGAACUCACUCCAGUGGUAUCGACAGUAUCUCAGAUCAGCUCCAGAGUUUCUGCUUCUUGUCACUGAAUAUAAAGGCAAAUCUGAGCCUGCUCUUCGUCUGUCAUCAAACGCUACUAAAGAAGAAAAACGAGUGGAACUGGAGAUUUCUUCUGUUGCUGUAACAGACUCUGCUGUGUACUACUGCGCCCUGCAGCCCACAGUGACAGGAAACUCAACUACACUGUACAAAAACUAAAGACAAAUCACUGAUUCUUGACAUAAGGAACAAAACAUGUUUAGAAUCUGAGUUUUUAUUUUUCAAUACUAAAUUAAUUACAAUUUGAUAUAUUUGUAGACAAAGUUGUCAGCUAACAAACCAAGUAUACAGGAUUUUAUAAAAACACUUUUAUUUCGCCCUGAAAUUGACAUUUGAUGCAAAGUGAGGACACAAUUUUGAU
Molecule: non-coding RNA, 597 nt
Organism: Xyrauchen texanus (razorback sucker)
Lineage: Eukaryota; Metazoa; Chordata; Actinopteri; Cypriniformes; Catostomidae
Source: the annotation of a RefSeq genome assembly